UGCAAUAAAUGGACAAUUAUCUAAGAAGGUUGAUAUCUAUAGCUAUGGAGUUGUAGUCCUCGAAAUUAUUAGUGGUCGAAAAAGUGAAGAAUUGAAUGUUAAUGGUGAAGCCGAGGGUGAAUUCCUCCUUCAGAAGGCAUGGAAACUAUAUGAAAGAGGCAUGCAUUUAUAGUUGGUGGACAAUACUUUAGACUCUAACGACUAUGCUGCAGAAGAAGUAGAGAAAAUAAUUGAGAUUGGUUUGCUUUGCACCCAAGCAUCAGCUGCAAUAAGGCCGAC
Molecule: long non-coding RNA, 279 nt
Organism: Neltuma alba
Lineage: Eukaryota; Viridiplantae; Streptophyta; Magnoliopsida; Fabales; Fabaceae
Exons: 3
Source: RefSeq, a predicted model, not a curated record